Molecule: non-coding RNA, 637 nt
Organism: Castor canadensis (American beaver)
Lineage: Eukaryota; Metazoa; Chordata; Mammalia; Rodentia; Castoridae
Source: RefSeq, a predicted model, not a curated record
GCAGCAUGGAGCUUGCAUGCCCCAUGAGGAUUUCCCUGGCCACCCCGGGCUGAGUACCUGAGAUAAACUGGGAGAACUAUGGCAGCUACUUGCAUGGACCUGUACCUGACCUAGCCCUUGGGGACUUUGUGUGCUUGAAUUGUCUAAAGAUGGGGUACUGAGGGGCAGGAAUGGUGAGGCUUUCUAACAGUACUUGAAACCUAAUGAUAAGCAACAUUUCCUCAUUAUUUUCCAGUGACCGACCUUACUGAAAUGGUGCUACAGUUGCUGUGCAAAGAAAUUCUGGGGUGAAGAAGAAUGCAAAAAUCUACCUUCUGUGGUUCAAGAAAUACUUUCUGUGACCAAAGAUCAAGUUAAAUUAAUGUACUCCACUGGUUGAAUUAUUUGAAAAUGUGAAAACAUAUCACCACAGUGCUUGUGAUGUUAGGUCAUCCCCAUAACCAUGGAAUUAGGGAUGUGGACAUGAACUUGACAGAAAAUCACUUCAGGAAAUACACAAAUCAGAUUCUGCGUGAUGGACCCUUCAGAAGAUCCGAGAAGCCAGCUUGGACAUUUAAAAUCAGAACUGUCAUUUCUACAUGUGCUGGCUGACUUCAAUAUGAGAAAUUCUGCAGAAAGAUGAGGACUGCUAACCUCU